AUGAGUGGCAGUGGCUGAGACCAUUGAAGAAGGAGGUCUCCCAGCAGUCCCCGCCCUCUUCAUGAUUGGCAUCACGGUUGCCCAAUAGGAAGCUGGGGUGCGUGCUCGUCCCUGCCGCGCCGGGCCGGUCAGCGUAGGUGAAGAUGGCGGUCCUGGCGCCGCUGCUGGCGCUGUUCUACGCGGUGCCCGGGCUCUGCCGCUGGCUGGCGCGGCCCUAUUACCCGCUCUCGGCGCUGCUCUCCGCUGCCUUCCUGCUGGUGCGCAAGCUACCGCCGCUCUGCCAGGGGCUGCCCACGCAGCGCGAGGACGGGAACCCCUGCGACUUCGACUGGCGGGAGGUGGAGAUCCUCAUGUUCCUCAGCGCCAUUGUGAUGAUGAAGAACCGCAGAUCCAUCACUGUGGAUCAGCACCUGGGGAACAUCUUCAUGUUCAGUAAAGUGGCCAACGCGAUCCUCUUCUUCCGGCUGGAUGUGCGGAUGGGGCUGCUCUACCUGACGCUGUGCAUAGUGUUCCUGAUGACCUGCAAGCCGCCUCUGUACCUGGGCCCGGAGUAUAUCAAAUACUUCAGUGAUAAAACCAUCCACGAGGAGCUGGAGCGGGACAAGCGGGUGACCUGGAUUGUGGAGUUCUUUGCCAACUGGUCCAACGAGUGCCAGUCGUUCGCGCCCAUCUACGCUGACCUCUCUCUCAAGUACAACUGCAAGGGGCUCAACUUCGGCAAGGUGGACGUGGGCCGCUACCCUGAUGUCAGCACCAGGUACAAAGUGAGUACCUCACCCCUCACCAAGCAGCUGCCCACCCUGAUCCUCUUCCAGGGCGGGAAGGAGGUGAUGCGUCGGCCGCAGAUUGACAAGAAGGGCCGGGCCGUCUCCUGGACCUUCUCCGAGGAGAAUGUGAUCCGGGAGUUCAGCCUGAACGAGCUGUACCAGAAGGCCAAGAAGCUGUCGAAGCAGCGAGACGAGGGGCAGAAGGAGCCACUGGAGCAGCAGGAUCUCCUGGCGGCCAGCACAGAGCUCCCCAACGGCGAGAGCAAGAAGGACAAAUAGAUCUGCCUCGCUCCCUGUAGUUGCCCCCCAUCAUCCUCUCCUGGCCACUGUGCCAUGGUGCCCAGCACAACCCAUCUUGAAGAUGGCGCCAUGAUGACGAUGGGAGCUGCAUGAGGGAGUCACCACCCUCCCUCUGGGGCUCAGCUGUGCCCUGGCUCCUCACUGGGCCAUGCUGGACUGCUCAUGUCUCUGCAGCAUCUUAUUUAUUCCUGUUCCUCUCUGGCAUCACCUCAAGAACUGGCUGCAGGCUGCUGAUUGGCUGCAAGGGGUGGGCCAUGAUUGGUCCAGCAGGGGCUGGGGGUAGAAUUCCCCUAGGGCUCUAGAGCAGCUGGGUUUGAGGGUGCAGCCUCUCCAGGUUGAAUGGAACCAAGGGGGGCUGGGUGAGGGGGGAGUGUUGACUUGGGCUGAACCAGCUUGGGAUGGGGGUGUAUUGCAGAUGGGCCCAACCACUUCUUGCUGGAAGAUAUUCUCUCCUCCCCCCUUUUCUGUUUGGGGGUAAGGAGGUGCACGGGACUCCUCCCAGCUGUAUAGUCCAUUGGACCUGUUCUCCCCCACGCCUCACUUGGGAGGGCUGUAGGCUUCCCCUGUUGGCUAACCCAGUGGUUGGGGGGAAUCUGGCCUGUGCCUAGCAGUGUGGGGAGAGGAGCUGGAGAGUAUGUGCUGCUCUGGGGGUGGGGGGAAGAGCAGCCUGAGCAUGUAACUCUCUCUCAUCCCAGCCAGGGGCUGGUGGGAACUGAACUCUGCUGCUCUGGAGGACUCUUAGCCAGUGCCUGACUUCUGCCCCUUCCCCACUGAAGGGCCAGGCCACUACUAGUUCCCUUUCCCUUUCCCUUCCUUCCAGCUGGACUUGGUUUAACCCUUCAAGUGCCAAAAGUUAGCUCAUGGGGCAAGGAGGGCAGGUGGUGCCAGGCUGAGUGCAGCACCUGAACUCUGUGCGAGCUGGAGGGGGGAAUUGACUGGAUGGCCCUAGAGGGGCUCCCCUGUUCUGUGCCUGCAGCUGCCUGGGGCACCGCCCCUCCUGAAUCAUAGCAAGGGCCUCUUCAUCCCUGCCAUGAAGGGGAGAGGAAGUUGUGGUGGCUCAGCAGCUGUGGCUCCUGGAAGCAUGGAGUAUUUGUCCUGUUAAUCAUCUCUUCCCUUGACAGUGUCUGUAAUAAACCAGUCUAAGAAUGAA
Molecule: RNA transcript, 2217 nt
Organism: Chelonia mydas (Green sea turtle)
Lineage: Eukaryota; Metazoa; Chordata; Testudines; Cheloniidae
Gene: TMX2
Gene name: thioredoxin related transmembrane protein 2
Exons: 9
Source: RefSeq, a predicted model, not a curated record